CUCUAGCCCCCACCCACCAAGUUAUCCAUGAAAACCCUAACCUGAGCUUUAUGGGAGACAGACUGGAGAAUUAACUUCCAUCCUGCCACUUGGCCAGCCCUGUAAUUAUUAAACUUUCUUUGCUUCAAAACCCUGCCAUUCUUGAUAUACUGGCUUACUUACUCAGUGAGCCAGAGUAAGACUGGGGCUGCCUCCCUCCUAAGAAGAGCUUCUGCUGAUGAAAGGCACCUAUGGGACUUCUCCCUCCAAUUUCUCGCUCACUGGCUUCAAAGACGACUCUCAAUGUCAUCGAGAUUAAACCAGCUCUUAGGGAAGCAAUGUAAUGCCAUAAUUAAGACCACACCAUCAGAGUCCAAGACUGGCAUCCAAAUCCCAGUUCUGCCACUUACAAGCCAUGUGACUUUGGUCAAGGUAUUUACCUUCUCAUCUGUAAAAUGGGAAUCACAGUAGUACAUAACUCAUA
This 463-nucleotide long non-coding RNA is filed under the name Rhinopithecus bieti (black snub-nosed monkey). RNAcentral's name for it is "lncRNA (ENSRBIG00000045879.1)". Lineage: Eukaryota; Metazoa; Chordata; Mammalia; Primates; Cercopithecidae. The record is from RNAcentral.